RNAcentral lists this ribosomal RNA (596 nucleotides) under Anopheles funestus (African malaria mosquito). RNAcentral's name for it is "eukaryotic small subunit ribosomal RNA". It matches the Rfam family "Eukaryotic small subunit ribosomal RNA", at positions 1118 to 1666 of the family's 1831-position model. The record is from RNAcentral. Lineage: Eukaryota; Metazoa; Arthropoda; Insecta; Diptera; Culicidae.
GGGAAGUAUGGUUGCAAAGUUGAAACUUAAAGGAAUUGACGGAAGGGCACCACAAGAAGUGGAGCUUGCGGCUUAAUUUGACUCAACACGGGAAAAUUUACCAGGUCCAAACUUAUCGAGGUAAGACAGAUUGAUAGCUCUUUCUCAAAUUUAAGGGUAGUGGUGCAUGGCCGUUCUUAGUUCGUGGAAUGAUUUGUCUGGUUAAUCCGAUAACGAACGUGACUCAAACAUGCUACUAGAACGCUGUCAGCAGUGCGCCUCCGGGCGCACCUGACGUUACAGCCGGGCGGCGCCUUCACGGGCGUCGUCGGCUACGUUUGCCCUGCUUAGCGGGACAAACUUGUGUUUAGCAAGCUUGAAAAAUGAGGCGAUAACAGGUCCGUGAUGCCCUUAGAUGUUCUGGGCUGCACGCGUGCUACAAUGUGGGUCGCAGCGUGUUCUCGCCAAUAGGCCGCCCCCAUUCCGAGAGGAACGGGAAAUCACUAAAAUGCCCAUCUAGUCGGGAUUGGGGACUGCAACGGUCCCCAUGAACCUGGAAUUUCUAGUAAGCACUAAAGUCAUUAGCUAGUGCUGAUUACGUCCCUGCCCUUUGUACA